This 279-nucleotide ribosomal RNA is filed under the name uncultured bacterium. RNAcentral describes it as "partial 16S ribosomal RNA". It matches the Rfam family "Bacterial small subunit ribosomal RNA", at positions 506 to 784 of the family's 1533-position model. The record is from RNAcentral.
UGCCAGCCGCCGCGGUAAGACGAACCGUACAAACGUUAUUCGGAAUUACUGGGCUUAAAGGGUGCGUAGGCGGCGCCGAAAGUUGGAUGUGAAAGCCCUCGGCUCAACCGAGGAAUUGCGUUCAAAACCGCGGUGCUUGAGGAAGAUAGAGGUGAGCGGAACUUCGGGUGGAGCGGUGAAAUGCGUUGAUAUCCGAAGGAACACCGGUGGCGAAAGCGGCUCACUGGAUCUUUUCUGACGCUGAGGCACGAAAGCUAGGGGAGCGAACGGGAUUAGAUA